Molecule: ribosomal RNA, 253 nt
Filed under: uncultured bacterium
Lineage: Bacteria
Description: partial 16S ribosomal RNA
Rfam family: Bacterial small subunit ribosomal RNA
Source: RNAcentral
GACAGAGGGUGCAAGCGUUGUCCGGAAUCAUUGGGCGUAAAGAGCGUGUAGGCGGCCCGGUAAGUCCGCUGUGAAAGUCGGGGGCUCAACCCUCGAAUGCCGGUGGAUACUGUCGGGCUAGAGUGCGGAAGAGGCGAGUGGAAUUCCUGGUGUAGCGGUGAAAUGCGCAGAUAUCAGGAGGAACACCAAUUGCGAAGGCAGCUCGCUGGGACGUAACUGACGCUGAGACGCGAAAGCGUGGGGAGCAAACAGG